RNAcentral lists this ribosomal RNA (230 nucleotides) under Escherichia coli. Its description in RNAcentral is "partial 16S ribosomal RNA". It matches the Rfam family "Bacterial small subunit ribosomal RNA", at positions 1 to 227 of the family's 1533-position model. Lineage: Bacteria; Pseudomonadati; Pseudomonadota; Gammaproteobacteria; Enterobacterales; Enterobacteriaceae. The record is from RNAcentral.
AAAUUGAAGAGUUUGAUCAUGGCUCAGAUUGAACGCUGGCGGCAGGCCUAACACAUGCAAGUCGAACGGUAACAGGAAGAAGCUUGCUUCUUUGCUGACGAGUGGCGGACGGGUGAGUAAUGUCUGGGAAACUGCCUGAUGGAGGGGGAUAACUACUGGAAACGGUAGCUAAUACCGCAUAACGUCGCAGGACCAAAGAGGGGGACCUUCGGGCCUCUUGCCAUCGGAUG